CGUAGGGUGCAAGCGUUAAUCGGAAUUACUGGGCGUAAAGCGUGCGCAGGCGGUUAUGUAAGACAGUUGUGAAAUCCCCGGGCUCAACCUGGGAACUGCAUCUGUGACUGCAUAGCUAGAGUACGGUAGAGGGGGAUGGAAUUCCGCGUGUAGCAGUGAAAUGCGUAGAUAUGCGGAGGAACACCGAUGGCGAAGGCAAUCCCCUGGACCUGUACUGACGCUCAUGCACGAAAGCGUGGGGAGCAAACAGGAUUAGAUACCCUGGUAGUCCACGCCCUAAACGAUGUCAACUGGUUGUUGGGUCUUCACUGACUCAGUAACGAAGCUAACGCGUGAAGCUGACCGCCUGGGGAGUACGGCCGCAAGGUUG
This 370-nucleotide ribosomal RNA is filed under the name uncultured organism. RNAcentral's name for it is "bacterial SSU rRNA". It matches the Rfam family "Bacterial small subunit ribosomal RNA", at positions 526 to 896 of the family's 1533-position model. The record is from RNAcentral.